UUAGAAUAAUUAGGUAGUUCUUUAAAAUCUCAUGUGUUACCAUUUCUAUCUGUUUGAAGGAGAGGAAGUUGAUGUCAAUGACAUGAAAACAAUUCUAGGAAACAUGGGGAUAGAGCUUACGGAUAAAGAACUCACAGAACUGGUAAAUAAUCUGCCAGUUGAUGAUGGAAAGGUCUAUCAGAAAAGAUUGCUGGACGGUAUAAAGUUUCUUAGAGGGGGGAAGAUUGACUCCAGCAAAGUGGACAUGGUUUUGGGAAACAUGGGCAUAAACCUCACUGAAAAAGAACUUGAAGAUCUAACACAAAACCUACCAGUUGAUGUUGAUGAGAAGGUUGAUCUGAAAAACAUGAUGCUGAGAAUAAAAGAUUUUACAGGAGAAAAGGUUGAUGCCAGAGAUCUGAAAAAUGUUCUUGGAGACAUGGGGAUAGAAGUCAAUGAUAAGGACUGCGUGGAACUGCUAAAAUUACUACCAGUUGAUGGAGGAAAGGUUGAUAUCGGUAACCUGAAGACGAUUCUUGGGAACAUGGGGAUCAAGCUCAAAAAUAAGGAACUUCAAAGUGUGAUACAAAAUCAACCUGUUGAUGCUAAUGGAAAUGUUCCUCUGAAAAAGGUGAUGGAUGAUGUGAAAGCAAUUAUAGGAGAAAAACUUAACGUGGAAAAUCUAAAAAACAUUCUCGAAGGCCUUGGAAUAGAAUUCACACCUAAAGAAUACUUGGAACUGGUACAAAAUCUGCAAAUUGAUGAUGAUGGAACUAUAUCUGAAAAUAGAUUGCUAGAUGGUGUGAAAUCAUUCAAAGGUGGAAGAGUUGAUGUUAGUAACCUGGAAAAUGUUUUGGAAAAUGUGAAAAUCAUGCUUCCAGAUAAGGAACUUAAAGAUUUGUCACAAAACCUACCAGUUGAUGCUUCUGGGAUGACUGAUCUGCAUAAACUACUAAAAGAAGUAAAUAAAUUCACAGGAGGAAAAAUUCAAGCCAAGGACAUACAAAAAGUACUGGGAGACAUGGGAGUAGAGCUCACAAAUAGGGAACUCUGGAACCUGAUGAAAAUGUUGCCAAUUACUGAUGACGGAAAGGUAUAUAAAAAUAUAUUGCUUGAUAAUAUAAAAUCAUUUCCUGGUGGGAAGUGCAAUGUCUCUAAAAUUGGUACUAUCCUGGAAAACAUGGGUUAUGAGCUGGAAGAUGAGGAAAUUGAAUACCUGCAGAACCACCUGCCAACUACUGAUGAAAAGAAGGUUAAACUGAAUAAGGUCAUGGAAAAUGUAGAGUCAUUUACAGGAACCAAGAUUAAUACUAAUGAAGUAGAUGAUAUUUUGAAAAACAUAGGGAUAGAACUCACACCUAAGGAACGCUGGAAGCUGCUAAAAACUCUGCCAGUUACUUCUGAUGGAAAAGUGUGUCGCAAUCUGUUACUAGAUCGUUUAAAGACUUUCCAAGGAGGGAAGGUCUUUGAAAAUAAACUAGAAACCAUUCUGGAAAACAUGAACUACAAACUUGAAAAUGAAGAAAUGAAAGAUCUACGGAACCAUUUGAAAAUUGAUGACAAUGGAAAGAUUUUAUUAAAUUCUGUGAUCCGUGCAGCCAAUUUAUUUUCUGGUGAUAAGAUAAAUGCCAGUGACAUACAACUUUAUCUAGGAAAUGUAGGUAUUGAAUUUACAAAUAAAGAAAACCAGGAUCUACUGGACAUAGUGCCAUUGGAUGAUAAUAAAAGGGUAUAUAAAGAUAGGCUGAUGGAUGGAGUGAAGACUUACAGAGGUGAGUAAAAAUCAUGCUAGAAAAGAUAAAACUGAGUUCUUCAAGCUUUUGUGUUUACUUUCUUAAAACCUAUCUUAUUUCCCACUGAUUAGAUUACUAAUUAUGUUAAUAUAUUCUUCAAAUUAUGAACUGGCAUUGUUACUCGUACACAAUCACAUUUGGGGUAAUAGCUUUCACUAUUUUGUCACUGUAGCAAAUUUCAAAUCUUACUGGUAAGAAAUCUUUGGAUUGUUGUCUCUUUGCUGUAAUUCAUCAGUCUUGCUUGCUCUUUUUCCUC
Molecule: long non-coding RNA, 2028 nt
Filed under: Macaca nemestrina (pig-tailed macaque)
Lineage: Eukaryota; Metazoa; Chordata; Mammalia; Primates; Cercopithecidae
Description: lncRNA (ENSMNEG00000045731.1)
Source: RNAcentral